This 87-nucleotide transfer RNA is filed under the name Clostridiales bacterium. RNAcentral describes it as "tRNA-Ser". It matches the Rfam family "tRNA". From Rfam's summary of the family: Transfer RNA (tRNA) molecules are approximately 80 nucleotides in length. The record is from RNAcentral. Lineage: Bacteria; Bacillati; Bacillota; Clostridia; Eubacteriales.
GCCGUGUUACCUUAGCGGGGAGGAGGGUCAGUCUUGAAAACUGUUGUGCCUAUGGCACUGGGGGUUCGAAUCCCUCACACGGCGCCA